This 676-nucleotide ribosomal RNA is filed under the name uncultured spirochete. RNAcentral's name for it is "bacterial SSU rRNA". It matches the Rfam family "Bacterial small subunit ribosomal RNA", at positions 59 to 726 of the family's 1533-position model. The record is from RNAcentral. Lineage: Bacteria; Pseudomonadati; Spirochaetota; Spirochaetia; Spirochaetales.
AAGUCGAGCGGCAAGGGGGAGCAAUCCNUCCUAGAGCGGCGGACUGGUGAGUAACACGUGGGUAACCUACCCUCAGGAUGGGGAUAGCCGCUAGAAAUAGCGGAUAAUACCGAAUAAGCCCGUGCGGCGAUGGCUGCGCGUGGAAAGGAGCGUCUGCUCCGCCUGAGGAUGGGCCCGCGUCCCAUUAGCUAGUUGGUGAGGUAAGAGCCCACCAAGGCAUCGAUGGGUAGCCGGCCUGAGAGGGUGAACGGCCACAUUGGGACUGAGAUACGGCCCAAACUCCUACGGGAGGCAGCAGCUAAGAAUAUUCCGCAAUGGACGAAAGUCUGACGGAGCGACGCCGCGUGGAUGACGAAGGCCGAAAGGUUGUAAAAUCCUUUUGCCGCCGAAGAAUAAUCCGGUAGGAAAUGACCGAGAGAUGACGAUAGGCGGCGAAUAAGCCCCGGCUAAUUACGUGCCAGCAGCCGCGGUAACACGUAAGGGGCGAGCGUUGUUCGGAAUUAUUGGGCGUAAAGGGCGCGUAGGCGGUCAGAUAAGUCCGGCGUGAAAGGCCGGGGCUCAACCCCGGGACUGCGCUGGAAACUAUCUGACUUGAGUCAUGGAGGGGGAGUUGGAAUUCCUAGUGUAGGGGUGAAAUCUAUAGAUAUUAGGAAGAACACCGGUGGCGAAGGCGAAC